This 885-nucleotide ribosomal RNA is filed under the name uncultured archaeon. RNAcentral describes it as "bacterial SSU rRNA". It matches the Rfam family "Archaeal small subunit ribosomal RNA", at positions 28 to 919 of the family's 1478-position model. The record is from RNAcentral.
UGCUAUCGGAUUGAUACUAAGCCAUGCGAGUCAUUGUAGCAAUACAAGGCAGACGGCUCAGUAACGCGUAGUCAAUCUACCCUAUGGACGGGAAUAACCUCGGGAAACUGAGAAUAAUGCCCGAUAGAACAUUAUGCCUGGAAUGGUUUAUGUUUCAAAUGAUUUAUCGCCAUAGGAUGGGACUGCGGCCUAUCAGUUUGUUGGUGAGGUAAUGGCCCACCAAGACUAUUACAGGUACGGGCUCUGAGAGGAGUAGCCCGGAGAUGGGUACUGAGACACGGACCCAGGCCCUAUGGGGCGCAGCAGACGAGAAAACUUUGCAAUGUGCGAAAGCACGACAAGGUUAAUCCGAGUGGUUUCUGCUAAAGAAACCUUUUGUCAGUCCUAGAAACACUAACGAAUAAGGGGUGGGCAAGUUCUGGUGUCAGCCGCCGCGGUAAAACCAGCACCUCAAGUGGUCAGGAUGAUUAUUGGGCCUAAAGCAUCCGUAGCUCGUUUUGUAAGUUUUCGGUUAAAUCCAUGCGCUUAACGUAUGGGCUGCCGGGAAUACUGCAUAACUAGGAAGUGGGAGAGGUAGACGGUACUCGGGAGGAAGGGGUAAAAUCCUUUGAUCUCUUGAUGACCACCUGUGGCGAAGGCGGUCUACCAGAACACGUUCGACGGUGAGGGAUGAAAGCUGGGGGAGCAAACCGGAUUAGAUACCCGGGUAGUCCCAGCUGUAAACUAUGCAAACUCAGUGAUGCAUUGGCUUAUGGCCAAUGCAGUGCUGCAGGGAAGCCGUUAAGUUUGCCGCCUGGGAAGUACGUACGCAAGUAUGAAACUUAAAGGAAUUGGCGGGGGAGCACCACAAGGGGUGAAGCCUGCGGUUCAAUUGGAUUCAACGCC